Molecule: ribosomal RNA, 439 nt
Filed under: uncultured bacterium
Lineage: Bacteria
Description: partial 16S ribosomal RNA
Rfam family: Bacterial small subunit ribosomal RNA
Source: RNAcentral
CUACGGGGUGCAGCAGUGAGGAAUAUUGCACAAUGGGGGCAACCCUGAUGCAGCAACGCCGCGUGGAGGAUGACGCAUUUCGGUGUGUAAACUCCUUUUAUCAGAGAAGAACCAUGACGGUAUCUGAUGAAUAAGCUCCGGCUAACUCCGUGCCAGCAGCCGCGGUAUACGGAGGGAGCAAGCGUUAUUCGGAAUCACUGGGCGUAAAGGACGCGUAGGCCGGUCUGUAAGUCAGGUGUGAAAUGCAAUGGCUCAACCAUUGAACUGCACUUGAAACUGCGGACCUAGAGUAUGGAAGGGGCAGAUGGAAUUAGUGGUGUAGGGGUAAAAUCCGUAGAUAUCACUAGGAAUACCGAAAGCGAAGGCGAUCUGCUGGGACAUAACUGACGCUAAGGCGUGAAAGCGUGGGGAGCAAACAGGAUUAGAUACCCCCGUAGUC